This 604-nucleotide ribosomal RNA is filed under the name uncultured bacterium. Its description in RNAcentral is "bacterial SSU rRNA". It matches the Rfam family "Bacterial small subunit ribosomal RNA", at positions 246 to 844 of the family's 1533-position model. The record is from RNAcentral.
UAGUUGGUGGGGUAAAGGCCUACCAAGCCGACGAUCUCUAGCUGGUCUGAGAGGAUGACCAGCCACACUGGAACUGAGACACGGUCCAGACUCCUACGGGAGGCAGCAGUGGGGAAUAUUGCACAAUGGGGGGAACCCUGAUGCAGCCAUGCCGCGUGAAUGAAGAAGGCCUUCGGGUUGUAAAGUUCUUUCGGUGAUGAGGAAGGUGUUUGUUUUAAUAGAACAAGCAAUUGACGUUAGUCACAGAAGAAGCACCGGCUAACUCCGUGCCAGCAGCCGCGGUAAUACGGAGGGUGCGAGCGUUAAUCGGAAUGACUGGGCGUAAAGGGCACGCAGGCGGUGACUUAAGUGAGAUGUGAAAGCCCCGAGCUUAACUUGGGAAUUGCAUUUCAUACUGGGUCGCUAGAGUAUUUUAGGGAGGGGUAGAAUUCCACGUGUAGCGGUGAAAUGCGUAGAGAUGUGGAGGAAUACCGAAGGCGAAGGCAGCCCCUUGGGAAAAUACUGACGCUCAUGUGCGAAAGCGUGGGGAGCAAACAGGAUUAGAUACCCUGGUAGUCCACGCUGUAAACGCUGUCGAUUUGGGGAUUGGGCUUUAAGCUUGGUG